GACGAACGCUGGCGGCGUGCUUAACACAUGCAAGUCGAACGGAAAGGCCCUGCUUUUGUGGGGUGCUCGAGUGGCGAACGGGUGAGUAACACGUGAGUAACCUGCCCUUGACUUUGGGAUAACUUCAGGAAACUGGGGCUAAUACCGGAUAGGAGCUCCUGCUGCAUGGUGGGGGUUGGAAAGUUUCGGCGGUUGGGGAUGGACUCGCGGCUUAUCAGCUUGUUGGUGGGGUAGUGGCUUACCAAGGCUUUGACGGGUAGCCGGCCUGAGAGGGUGACCGGCCACAUUGGGACUGAGAUACGGCCCAAACUCCUACGGGAGGAAGCGGUGGGGAAUAUUGCACAAUGGGCGGAAGCCUGAUGCAGCAACGCCGCGUGCGGGAUGACGGCCUUCAGGUUGUAAACCGCUUUCGCCUGUGACGAAGCGUGAGUGACGGUAAUGGGUAAAGAAGCACCGGCUAACUACGUG
This 468-nucleotide ribosomal RNA is filed under the name uncultured bacterium. RNAcentral's name for it is "partial 16S ribosomal RNA". It matches the Rfam family "Bacterial small subunit ribosomal RNA", at positions 28 to 507 of the family's 1533-position model. The record is from RNAcentral.